CAUUUUUCAUGUGCACGCCGUAAAUGUGAAUUUCAUUUUUUAAAAAUAUUUAUUUAUUUAAUUACCAACAAGCUUAUAAUAAUUAAUAUUAUAAAAGAACUAUAUAUACCACCACAUAUAAUAUAAUCAUGUUUUUCAUAAUUUCAAUGAAUAAAAGUAUUAAGUGCAAUCAAAUACAAUACACCAAAAUGUAGAGUUAAUCUAGAUGAUUACUAAGAACAUCAUUAGCCUAGUCAAAAAGUUUAUGUCAAUAUACCAAAAGUAUCGAUUACUACUCCAAAAAUAGCUUA
RNAcentral lists this long non-coding RNA (290 nucleotides) under Olea europaea (common olive). Its description in RNAcentral is "long non-coding RNA (OEUR_LNC013174)". Lineage: Eukaryota; Viridiplantae; Streptophyta; Magnoliopsida; Lamiales; Oleaceae. The record is from RNAcentral.